Molecule: ribosomal RNA, 253 nt
Filed under: uncultured bacterium
Lineage: Bacteria
Description: partial 16S ribosomal RNA
Rfam family: Bacterial small subunit ribosomal RNA
Source: RNAcentral
UACAGAGGGUGCGAGCGUUAAUCGGAAUUACUGGGCGUAAAGCGCACGUAGGCGGCUUGGUAUGUCAGGUGUGAAAUCCCCGGGCUCAACCUGGGAACUGCAUCCGAAACUGCCUUGCUCGAGUAUGGGAGAGGGAAGUGGAAUUUCCGGUGUAGCGGUGAAAUGCGUAGAUAUCGGAAGGAACAUCAGUGGCGAAGGCGACUUCCUGGACCAAUACUGACGCUCAGGUGCGAAAGCGUGGGGAGCAAACAGG